UACAGAGGUCCCAAGCGUUGUUCGGAUUCAUUGGGCGUAAAGGGUGCGUAGGUGGCGCCGUAAGUGGGGUGUGAAAUCCCGGGGCUUAACCCCGGGACUGCAUUCCAUACUGCGGUGCUUGAGGACUGGAGAGGAGACUGGAAUUUACGGUGUAGCAGUGAAAUGCGUAGAGAUCGUAAGGAAGACCAGUGGCGAAGGCGGGUCUCUGGACAGUUCCUGACACUGAGGCACGAAGGCCAGGGGAGCAAACAGG
Molecule: ribosomal RNA, 253 nt
Filed under: uncultured bacterium
Lineage: Bacteria
Description: partial 16S ribosomal RNA
Rfam family: Bacterial small subunit ribosomal RNA
Source: RNAcentral